GCAACUCUGUUCAUCUAGGCUCCCAAAGUUGAUCCGCAAGUGGCUCCACAACCUCAGCAGUUUCAUCAAUCUAUCCCGCCAAAGCCAGCCAUUCAACCUCAUAUGUCAUCUGGUUUCGGAUUACAAGAGCCAGUAGCUACAAGACGCAACCUCCUCAGCAUCAUUUUCAACACAUUUUUUAAUUGGUUUUCUUUGGUUUCCAUCAUUGUGAUUUAUGUUUUUGACUAGCUAUAGCUCGUUAACUGAACCAAUCUAUAGUCAGGUUCCCGCAGGGACAGCCACAUCUGCCUAGUCCACUACCAUAUCUUACAUUUUAGGCGAUAUGUUCUGUGGUUUUUGCUGAUUGGCUAUGCAAUUAUGUUGAUUUGUCUCUUGUGCUUUCUCCUAUAUGGAAACUCCAGAAAUAAUCCUCUCAUAUGUGUUCAUUGUCAUCUAAUUUCCACCUCUGUUUACGUUGAAAUCAGUUUUUUGCUUAAAACAAUAGGCAACCUAAAUGGAAAUUCUGCAGGUUUUAGUAAAAUGUCUUUUGUUUCAGGUUGGAACUCAGUUUCGUGGAAAAUACAAUAAUCACCAAUUAGGAGGUCCGAUGGCUGCAGAUAGAGGUUCUUCUUGGAUGGCUCAAACAUUACUCAUCUCCCAAGCUUAGGACCUGUCCCUUCACCAAGCCAAGUUGGACCUGGAAGUGGCCCUCCACCUCGCCCUCACCGAUAUCUGCAGAGAUGGAGAAGGCACUGAAUGCUUCAACAUGUGAUAAUUUUCUGCCACCAGAACAGAGAAAUCAAGUCCUUCAGCUCAUCUUACCAAAAAAAAGUCCUUCAGCUCCAAGAGAUUCUCCGACAGUGAAGCUCGUUGAUACAAUCGCUUGGUCUCCAACUCUCCAUGUUAUAACUUAGAAGGUUUUGGGUUUGAAUGUAUGGUAUGAGUCAAGUUUGACAUAAUUUGUACAAAAGAAGUAAUUAUAUAUUUUUUAAGUUCAGUGAAUCACUGACACAUGAUACUUUGGUCA
Molecule: long non-coding RNA, 1006 nt
Organism: Brassica napus (rape)
Lineage: Eukaryota; Viridiplantae; Streptophyta; Magnoliopsida; Brassicales; Brassicaceae
Exons: 2
Source: RefSeq, a predicted model, not a curated record